AUUGAGGAAUAUGCUUUUUCCAGAACAUCUGUUUGGAGUCGGGAGGGGCAAAAAACGCCUCAUAGAUUAACUGUGUGGUUUCCUUUACUCAUAGAACUACCUGUUAGAUCUGUGGGAAAGAACUACAAGACAGAG
Small nucleolar RNA from Monodon monoceros (narwhal), 135 nucleotides. NCBI's taxonomy places the organism in Eukaryota, Metazoa, Chordata, Mammalia, Artiodactyla, Monodontidae. The record is from Ensembl.